Long non-coding RNA from Amphimedon queenslandica, 336 nucleotides. RefSeq lists it as uncharacterized. The transcript has 2 exons. The record is from RefSeq and is a predicted model, not a curated record. Lineage: Eukaryota; Metazoa; Porifera; Demospongiae; Haplosclerida; Niphatidae.
GAGUUCUGAUAAAAACAAGGAAUUGUUCUUACAGCAAGUCCAGCAGAUAUUGGACGGUAUCAAGCAAGACAAGGAGCAGUUGGGUCAGAGAUGUGUUGAGGAGAGGAAAGAGAAAGAUCGACUGACAACCAUCCAUCUUGAUCUCAUUGACAAGCAAAGGAAGUAUUACAAAACUGUUAAAGACUUUCAAGAAGAGUGUCGCAAAAAUGAAACGCUGUUGUCAAAAAAUUAAAACUAAAAAUUGCUAGACCUCGUGUUAAUUUAAGGGCUAGAAAUACAAUAUAAAAUUGCUGUUGUGUGUUACUUUAGUUAUUGAUAAAGAUUGUAUCAAUUGAA